UGAAGAAGUUUUCGGAUCGUAAAGCUCUGUUGUUGGUGAAGAAGGAUAGAGGCAGUAACUGGUCUUUAUUUGACGGUAAUCAACCAAGAAAGUCACGGCUAACUACGUGCCAGCAGCCGCGGUAAUACGUAGGUGGCAAGCGUUGUCCGGAUUUAUUGGGCGUAAAGCGAGCGCAGGCGGAAUGAUAAGUCUGAUGUGAAAGCCCACGGCUCAACCGUGGAACUGCAUCGGAAACUGUCAUUCUUGAGUGCAGAAGAGGAGAGUGGAACUCCAUGUGUAGCGGUGGAAUGCGUAGAUAUAUGGAAGAACACCAGUGGCGAAGGCGGCUCUCUGGUCUGCAACUGACGCUGAGGCUCGAAAGCAUGGGUAGCGAACAGGAUUAGAUACCCUGGUAGUCCAUGCCGUAAACGAUGAGCGCUAGGUGUUGGGGACUUUCCGGUCCUCAGUGCCGCAGCAAACGCAUUAAGCGCUCCGCCUGGGGAGUACGACCGCAAGGUUGAAACUCAAAGGAAUUGACGGGGGCCCGCACAAGCGGUGGAGCAUGUGGUUUAAUUCGAAGCAACGCGAAGAACCUUACCAGGUCUUGACAUCCUGCGCUACACCUAGAGAUAGGUGGUUCCCUUCGGGGACGCAGAGACAGGUGGUGCAUGGCUGUCGUCAGCUCGUGUCGUGAGAUGUUGGGUUAAGUCCCGCAACGAGCGCAACCCUUGUCUUUAGUUGCCAUCAUUAAGUUGGGCACUCUAAAGAGACUGCCGGUGACAAACCGGAGGAAGGUGGGGAUGACGUCAAGUCAUCAUGCCCCUUAUGACCUGGGCUACACACGUGCUACAAUGGGCAGUACAACGAGAAGCGAACCCGCGAGGGUAAGCGGAUCUCUUAAAGCUGCUCUCAGUUCGGACUGCAGGCUGCAACUCGCCUGCACGAAGCUGGAAUCGCUAGUAAUCGCGGAUCAGCACGCCGCGGUGAAUACGUUCCCGGGCCUUGUACACACCGCCCGUCACACCAUGGAAGUCUGCAAUGCCCAAAGUCGGUGAGAUAACC
This 1041-nucleotide ribosomal RNA is filed under the name Lactobacillus delbrueckii. RNAcentral describes it as "bacterial SSU rRNA". It matches the Rfam family "Bacterial small subunit ribosomal RNA", at positions 406 to 1440 of the family's 1533-position model. The record is from RNAcentral. Lineage: Bacteria; Bacillati; Bacillota; Bacilli; Lactobacillales; Lactobacillaceae.